Molecule: ribosomal RNA, 495 nt
Filed under: uncultured bacterium
Lineage: Bacteria
Description: partial 16S ribosomal RNA
Rfam family: Bacterial small subunit ribosomal RNA
Source: RNAcentral
GACGAACGCUGGCGGCGUGCCUAAUACAUGCAAGUAGAACGCUGAAGGAGGAGCUUGCUUCUCCGGAUGAGUUGCGAACGGGUGAGUAACGCGUAGGUAACCUGCCUGGUAGCGGGGGAUAACUAUUGGAAACGAUAGCUAAUACCGCAUAACAGUAGAUAUUGCAUGAUAUCUGCUUGAAAGGUGCAAUUGCAUCACUACCAGAUGGACCUGCGUUGUAUUAGCUAGUUGGUGGGGUAACGGCUCACCAAGGCGACGAUACAUAGCCGACCUGAGAGGGGGAUCGGCCACACUGGGACUGAGACACGGCCCAGACUCCUACGGGAGGCAGCAGUAGGGAAUCUUCGGCAAUGGACGGAAGUCUGACCGAGCAACGCCGCGUGAGUGAAGAAGGUUUUCGGAUCGUAAAGCUCUGUUGUAAGAGAAGAACGAGUGUGAGAGUGGAAAGUUCACACUGUGACGGUAUCUUAACAGAAAGGGACGGCUAACUACGUG